Molecule: ribosomal RNA, 347 nt
Filed under: Heyndrickxia oleronia
Lineage: Bacteria; Bacillati; Bacillota; Bacilli; Caryophanales; Bacillaceae
Description: Bacillus oleronius Bacterial small subunit ribosomal RNA
Rfam family: Bacterial small subunit ribosomal RNA
Source: Rfam by way of RNAcentral
UUUUUGGAGAGUUUGAUCCUGGCUCAGGACGAACGCUGGCGGCGUGCCUAAUACAUGCAAGUCGAGCGAAUCUGACGGGAGCUUGCUCCCUGAUGAUUAGCGGCGGACGGGUGAGUAACACGUGGGUAACCUGCCUGUAAGACUGGGAUAACUCCGGGAAACCGGGGCUAAUACCGGAUAACUUUUUUCUUCGCAUGAGGGAGAAUUGAAAGAUGGCUUCGGCUAUCACUUACAGAUGGACCCGCGGCGCAUUAGCUAGUUGGUGAGGUAACGGCUCACCAAGGCGACGAUGCGUAGCCGACUUGAGAGGGUGAUCGGCCACACUGGGACUGAGACACGGCCCAGAC